AUAAAGUUUUAUUUUGGCUUAAAAUUUUAUUAUAAAUUUAUUUUAUAUGUAAGUUUUUGUGGGAAUUUAAUUUAUUUUAUUUUAAAAAUAAAAAAAAAAUUUUUAAUCGCAAUAAUUAAUAUUAUUUAUCAAGGAAAUUUGGAAAUAGAAAUAUUUAAUAGUAUUGACUAAAUUUGUGCCAGCAGUCGCGGUUAUACUAAUAAUGCAAAUAAAUUAUAUUAGUAAAAGUUAGAUUUAUAAAUUAAAUUAAUAUUAAAGUUAUUAGGUGAAAUUUUAAUUUUAAAAAUUAUUUUAAAUUAAGAAUAAUUGAAACUAAAAAAUUUUAAUUAUAAACUAGGAUUAGAUACCCUAUUAUUUAAAAUGUAUUAAUUUUAUUAAAGUAGUAGUAGAUAUGUUCUUGAAACUUAAAAAAUUUGGCGGUAUUUUAAUCUAUUCAGAGGAAUCUGUUCUGUAAUCGAUAAUCCACGAUGGACCUUUCUUAAAUUUGUUUAUAAUCAGUUUAUAUACCGUUGUUAUUAGAAUAUUUUAUAAGAAUAAUAAUUUUCUUAAUAUUUAAUUAAAUAAAAUAUCAAAUCAAGGUGUAGCUAAUAUUUAAGUUGAAAUGGAUUACAAUAAAAAAAUUUUUGGAUUUAAAUAUGAAAAAUUUAUUGAAAUUGGAUUUGAAAGUAAAUUUAUAAAGAUUAAUAAAUUGAUUUUAGCUCUAAAAUAUGUACAUAUCGCCCGUCACUCUUAUUAUUAAGAUAAGAUAAGUCGUAACAUAGUAGAUGUACCGGAAGGUGUAUCUAGAAUGA
RNAcentral lists this non-coding RNA (791 nucleotides) under Loxocera planivena. The record is from RNAcentral. Lineage: Eukaryota; Metazoa; Arthropoda; Insecta; Diptera; Psilidae.